UAUACAUCAGUUAUAGUCGAAUCGUACCCCUCAACGGAGUUGUUGUACUGAAUCUCGUGCCAGUAGUAUAGUUUUUCUACACCCCAUUUUAUCGGUUUCCACCCUAAGGAAAGAAAAAUUCCAAAAUUACACCUUUUCCUCUGUAUCGAAUAAUUCACUGGAAUUCUUUGAAUUAAAACCACAACAAAAAUGUGCAAGUGUAUCGCCGGAAGCGUCGUCUGCUGUUGCUGCCAAUGUGCGAUGAGCGUUUUUAUCUCGCUCAUUGUGGUCGGGAUACUGCUGGCCGCAGCCAUCGCAGUUGGAAUCUACUUCGGCGUGAUUGAUGUGCACGACAGCGCCCCCCAAAUUUCGGACUUUGUCCACAACACCGGUGACUCGAUCAAGGAUGCGGUCAAGGACAAGCUCAAUUAAUAAGAACAUCGAUUGACCAAUCAACAAAAACAUUUAAAAAAACAGCUUGCAUAGCUUCCAUCAACAGCCAUCGACUUGCCUUUAGUUGGGCUGUUUUUUUUUAAACUAAAAUAUUAGCUACUCAACAGAUUUUAAGAAAACCAGCAUGGAACAUUAAUCAAAACAUCACAAUACAAUACCUUCAAUACGUGCUUUACCAUAGCAAAUGGCUCAUACAAUGAAAUAAUAUUCCUAAAUGUGGCUUAUGCAAAAUGUGACCUCAAAUUAGCCUCAUACAAACAUACAAUAACCAAGCGACAGCGAAUUAACUCAUGCAUCAACAAAACUACAAACAAUGGACUUAGAUUUAGAGAUCUGACUAAAUGUUUUAUAAGGUUCUGUAAAUAUAUUUAUUUCUCGUAAAUCUGA
Long non-coding RNA from Uranotaenia lowii, 819 nucleotides. RefSeq lists it as uncharacterized. The record is from RefSeq and is a predicted model, not a curated record. Lineage: Eukaryota; Metazoa; Arthropoda; Insecta; Diptera; Culicidae. The transcript is spliced from 2 exons.